This is a long non-coding RNA of Panicum virgatum (switchgrass), 1119 nucleotides long. RefSeq lists it as uncharacterized. The record is from RefSeq and is a predicted model, not a curated record. The transcript has 6 exons. Lineage: Eukaryota; Viridiplantae; Streptophyta; Magnoliopsida; Poales; Poaceae.
UCGCCGUUCCUCCCGCCCCAACUUCGCGAUCCGUCCGCGGUUCCUCUCGUUCCCCUGUGUGCCCUGCCCCUGCAUUGAAGAUGACGCCGCCGUUCCGCAAGAGUCGAGAUCGAUCCGUCCUCCCGUCGUCGUCGAUCCUCCUCCGGCCUGCCUUCCGAUAUCAGGAGGCACUGCAUCGCCAUCUACCCGUGCUGCAGAAGGAGCGAAGGGAAGGCAACGCAAAGCAACCUCUCUGUGUGGCUUGGAGGAAGAGCUCCCGAGGCCUCAAGGGGCACGCAGGGAGAAGCUCAAGACCUUCUUGUAGUUACUGAUGAGCUGGACAGUUGGGUCGCCGGCGACGAGCGCCUACUAGAUGUCCUUGUGCACUGCUGCAGUUAUGUUGCGGGUGUGUGCUUCGCCAACACAUGGAGCCCUGGACUCGCUGCUAGCUACAUGAUUUCUUUGCGUCCUCACCACUUCAGCCGGAUUUGUGCUCUGCUGCUUCAUCGUUCCAUUACACUCGAAUGUACCACCAGCCGGUAUGCCAAUGAUCAGCUCACACUGGGCAUCAUCUUCCAUAACCUGAAUGAAUGCCUCACUGAUGCCUCCGGUGCUGAGAUGCCAUAGGCUGUUUCCCCUCUCCCUCGAUCCUGCAACCUGGACUCCUACAUGAAAGUGGCAUCUGGGGAAGCAGAAAUCGGAAUUGUCAUCCGUGACCUUCUGGUCAGUGUCAAGCUAACAGCAUGGCAGACAAUGUUCGACGCUUCGAAUGCCGAGGAGAUGGAAGCUUUGGUAUGUAAAGAGGGCAUUGGCCUGGCUGCUGAAUGGUUCCAGGAGCCAGUUAUGGAACCAGACUGCACGAUUGCCAUCCAAUAUUUGAAGGAGGUGAAGGUCUUGAAGCCUGUGUGUCUCUCCAUCAUUCAGGAGGCUUCUCAUGUGGCUAGUAGAUUGCCAGGUUUUGAGUUGAAUCAUGUAAAGAGAUAGGAAUUCAGUAGCCGAUGAUCUUGCACAAAUGGCGAAGUGUCUGAACCACAGUGCUAUGUGGUGAGGCUGUUAUCAUGCCUGUACUAAGCAGCUGAUUGCUCUUGUUUGUAACACUUCCAUGAGUAAUCAAUAAAAUCUCGAGUAUGUUUUAUGGUU